Molecule: long non-coding RNA, 284 nt
Filed under: Manihot esculenta (cassava)
Lineage: Eukaryota; Viridiplantae; Streptophyta; Magnoliopsida; Malpighiales; Euphorbiaceae
Description: long non-coding RNA (MESC_LNC001363)
Source: RNAcentral
AAAAAAAGGCCUGGAAUCGAGUGGAAGUAUACUACAAAAGAGUAAAAUUCGACAGAAAAUGACACGGAGGAGCAGAAGAAACACAAGGAAAAAAAUUAUUCAAUAAUAUUAUUUAUUAUUAAUCAAAUUUUAUAUAGCUUGUCUUCUUUAUAAUAAAAAUUAUUAUAAUACUUAGUUGCAUUUGCAGAUAAAAAAAAAGAUACAAAAUAUAUUUGGUCAUCCUAUCUCCUAAAUUACGCAAACCUUCCAAGUAAUUUCAUUGACAUUUACAUUUUACACGGCUG